This 253-nucleotide ribosomal RNA is filed under the name uncultured bacterium. RNAcentral's name for it is "partial 16S ribosomal RNA". It matches the Rfam family "Bacterial small subunit ribosomal RNA", at positions 524 to 776 of the family's 1533-position model. The record is from RNAcentral.
UACAUGGGGUGCAAACGUUGCUCGGAAUUACUGGGCGUAAAGGGCGCGUAGGCGGCCUGUUAAGUCGAACGUGAAAUCCCCGGGCUCAACCCGGGAACUGCGUCCGAUACUGGCAGGCUUGAAUCCGGGAGAGGGAUGUGGAAUUCCAGGUGUAGCGGUGAAAUGCGUAGAUAUCUGGAGGAACACCGGUGGCGAAGGCGGCAUCCUGGACCGGUAUUGACGCUGAGGCGCGAAAGCCAGGGGAGCAAACGGG